This 259-nucleotide unclassified non-coding RNA is filed under the name uncultured fungus. Its description in RNAcentral is "partial internal transcribed spacer 1". Lineage: Eukaryota; Fungi. The record is from RNAcentral.
GUAAUAUUCCGGUGACGAUUGUCGGGGAGACGGGUACGGGUAAGGAGCUAUUUUCCCGCCUGAUACAUCAAUGCAGCAAGCGGGCGAAUAAACCCUUCAUCGCCCUGAACUGCGGCGCUCUACCGCCUACGCUUAUCGAAAGUACGCUUUUCGGCACCGUGCGCGGCGCCUAUACCGGCGCGGAAAAUAGCCAGGGCUAUCUGGAACUGGCAAACGGGGGAACGCUCUUUCUUGAUGAGCUGAACGCCAUGCCGAUAGA